RNAcentral lists this ribosomal RNA (867 nucleotides) under uncultured Aeromonas sp. Its description in RNAcentral is "bacterial SSU rRNA". It matches the Rfam family "Bacterial small subunit ribosomal RNA", at positions 94 to 958 of the family's 1533-position model. Lineage: Bacteria; Pseudomonadati; Pseudomonadota; Gammaproteobacteria; Aeromonadales; Aeromonadaceae. The record is from RNAcentral.
AGCGGCGGACGGGUGAGUAAUGCCUAGGGAUCUGCCCAGUCGAGGGGGAUAACAGUUGGAAACGACUGCUAAUACCGCAUACGCCCUACGGGGGAAAGGAGGGGACCUUCGGGCCUUCCGCGAUUGGAUGAACCUAGGUGGGAUUAGCUAGUUGGUGAGGUAAUGGCUCACCAAGGCGACGAUCCCUAGCUGUUCUGAGAGGAUGAUCAGCCACACUGGGACUGAGACACGGUCCAGACUCCUACGGGAGGCAGCAGUGGGGAAUAUUGCACAAUGGGCGCAAGCCUGAUGCAGCCAUGCCGCGUGUAUGAAGAAGGCCUUCGGGUUGUAAAGUACUUUCAGCGAGGAGGAAGGCGUUAAGGUUAAUAACCUUGACGAUUGACGUUACUCGCAGAAGAAGCACCGGCUAACUCCGUGCCAGCAGCCGCGGUAAUACGGAGGGCGCAAGCGUUAAUCGGAAUUACUGGGCGUAAAGCGCACGCAGGCGGUCUGUCAAGUCGGAUGUGAAAUCCCCGGGCUCAACCUGGGAACUGCAUCCGAAACUGGCAGGCUAGAGUCUUGUAGAGGGGGGUAGAAUUCCAGGUGUAGCGGUGAAAUGCGUAGAGAUCUGGAGGAAUACCGGUGGCGAAGGCGGCCCCCUGGACAAAGACUGACGCUCAGGUGCGAAAGCGUGGGGAGCAAACAGGAUUAGAUACCCUGGUAGUCCACGCUGUAAACGAUGUCGACUUGGAGGUUGUUCCCUUGAGGAGUGGCUUCCGGAGCUAACGCGUUAAGUCGACCGCCUGGGGAGUACGGCCGCAAGGUUAAAACUCAAAUGAAUUGACGGGGCCCGCACAAGCGGUGGAGCAUGUGGUUUAAUUCGAUGCA